UGGAAACUNUCUGACUUGAGUGCAGAAGGGGAGAGUGGAAUUCCAUGUGUAGCGGUGAAAUGCGUAGAUAUAUGGAGGAACACCAGUGGCGAAAGCGGCUCUCUGGUCUGUCACUGACGCUGAGGCUCGAAAGCGUGGGUAGCGAACAGGAUUAGAUACCCUGGUAGUCCACGCCGUAAACGAUGAGUGCUAGGUGUUAGGCCCUUUCCGGGGCUUAGUGCCGGAGCUAACGCAAUAAGCACUCCGCCUGGGGAGUACGACCGCAAGGUUGGAACUCAAAGGAAUUGACGGGGGCCCGCACAAGCGGUGGAGCAUGUGGUUUAAUUCGAAGCAACGCGAAGAACCUUACCAGGUCUUGACAUCCCGAUGCUAUUCUUAGAGAUAGGAAGUUACUUCGGUACAUCGGAGACAGGUGGUGCAUGGUUGUCGUCAGCUCGUGUCGUGAGAUGUUGGGUUAAGUCCCGCAACGAGCGCAACCCUUAUUGUUAGUUGCCAUCAUUAAGUUGGGCACUCUAGCGAGACUGCCGGUAAUAAACCGGAGGAAGGUGGGGAUGACGUCAAAUCAUCAUGCCCCUUAUGACCUGGGCUACACACGUGCUACAAUGGUCGGUACAACGAGUUGCGAGCCGGUGACGGCAAGCUAAUCUCUGAAAGCCGAUCUCAGUUCGGAUUGGAGGCUGCAACUCGCCUCCAUGAAGUCGGAAUCGCUAGUAAUCGCGGAUCAGCACGCCGCGGUGAAUACGUUCCCGGGCCUUGUACACACCGCCCGUCACACCACGAGAGUUUGUAACACCCGAAGUCGGUGAGGUANCCUUUUAGGG
RNAcentral lists this ribosomal RNA (821 nucleotides) under uncultured bacterium. Its description in RNAcentral is "bacterial SSU rRNA". It matches the Rfam family "Bacterial small subunit ribosomal RNA", at positions 627 to 1447 of the family's 1533-position model. The record is from RNAcentral.